CGAUGCAACGCGAAAAACCUUACCCACCUUUGACAUGUACGGAAUCCUUUAGAGAUAGAGGAGUGCUCGAAAGAGAGCCGUAACACAGGUGCUGCAUGGCUGUCGUCAGCUCGUGUCGUGAGAUGUUGGGUUAAGUCCCGCAACGAGCGCAACCCUUGUCAUUAGUUGCUACAUUUAGUUGGGCACUCUAAUGAGACUGCCGGUGAUAAACCGGAGGAAGGUGGGGAUGACGUCAAGUCCUCAUGGCCCUUAUAGGUGGGGCUACACACGUCAUACAAUGGCUGGUACAAAGGGUUGCCAACCCGCGAGGGGGAGCUAAUCCCAUAAAACCAGUCGUAGUCCGGAUCGCAGUCUGCAACUCGACUGCGUGAAGUCGGAAUCGCUAGUAAUCGUGGAUCAGAAUGUCACGGUGAAUACGUUCCCGGGUCUUGUACACACCGCCCGUCACACCAUGGGAGCGGGUUCUGCCAGAAGUAGUUAGCCUAACCGUAAGGAGGGCGAUUACCACGGCAGGGUUCGUGACUGGGGUGAAGUCGUAACAAGGUAGCCGUAUCGGAAGG
Molecule: ribosomal RNA, 560 nt
Filed under: uncultured bacterium
Lineage: Bacteria
Description: bacterial SSU rRNA
Rfam family: Bacterial small subunit ribosomal RNA
Source: RNAcentral